This 341-nucleotide long non-coding RNA is filed under the name Salmo salar (Atlantic salmon). RNAcentral describes it as "lncRNA (ENSSSAG00000110793.1)". The record is from RNAcentral. Lineage: Eukaryota; Metazoa; Chordata; Actinopteri; Salmoniformes; Salmonidae.
AUAAACAAUCUCUCAAGCUCAAGCCCACAUGCUAAAGGACAUACUCUAUUUUUCCAAGGACAGAAGAAGCAGAGAAGCAUUCCAGCUCUGUGUCUGAUCAGUGUUGUCUGAUCAGUGUUGGUCCUCCUGGGUUAAACCCUCUGGCUGCGGGCUGUUUGACCCUCCCUGCUACCCUUACUCCCUGCUCCCCCUGCUGAUGGGACCCAGAGAUGAGAGCUGAUCAAGAGCUCAAAUGAAACGGGGUAGAGUAAAGUCUGGAGGCUGAAGGCUGGAGGCUGGGGCUGGAGCCUGGAGGCUGGUUGCUGGAGGCUGGAGGCUGGUGGUUGAAGGCUGGAAACUGG